RNAcentral lists this long non-coding RNA (5914 nucleotides) under Nicotiana tabacum (common tobacco). Its description in RNAcentral is "long non-coding RNA (NTAB_LNC011640)". Lineage: Eukaryota; Viridiplantae; Streptophyta; Magnoliopsida; Solanales; Solanaceae. The record is from RNAcentral.
CUAAAAAUUGUAGGUUAAAAUCCCUAAAAUAUUUACAUAGAAGAAGUGAUAAAAAAUUAAAUAUUAUCAAAAAUUAGGUGGUCACAAUAUGUUCCUAGUUCAAUUCUGAAACUCAACUCUAUGUGCUCCAUUGUUUGUCAAUCCCUGUCUCUUUCUGCACUGACUUAAUGGCUCAUGUUGUCUAAUUGCACUUCUUGUUUACUGCUUUACUCAACAUGCUUAAGUUCUGCCCUCUCUUGUUCAAAUGUAACAGCUGUAGACAUAUAAUUUUUGACCCUCUCCAAGAUUUUACACAUUUUAGUACUUAAAUAUUCACUCUAGGUCUAAUAUAGCUAUUUCAACUAGUUUUAACUAUUUACUUUAAAUUCGAAAAUACAAAAAAAUAGUUUUGCUUUGUUUUAUCUUUAUAUUUAAGCUAAGGUCAUUAGUAGUAGUACUAUUUUAGUUUACUAUGUUUAACUUAUGUUUAUCUACUUUUAUAAUAUUUGAAAAUACCAACAAAAAAAAAUUGUUUCGCUUUUAAUUUUUAAUUCUUACAUUAAUCAAUUAGGAGUAAUUUUAUGUUUUUACAAAUAUUUUAUAUUAAUUUGGAAGAAACUUGAAUGUAUAAUAAAAUUUUCAGUUCUUCUUGUCUAAAUUGAGCCCAAUUUCAAACCCACCCCAAAUGCCCAAUUUCAACACUCUUCUUCUUAACCAAGACAACCCUAGUUCUCUAGACCGAAGAGAACAACACCCAUCAGACCUUCUUCCUUAGACACAAGACUACAACACAAAACCAAACGAAUCCCUUCUUCUUCGAAAUAGCAGCAGCAAGACCGGCGACCACCUCCCCCCCAUCGCCGUUUCUUCUUCACCACCACAGCACCCUUGUCGCCGCCCCCCCCCCCUUUCUGAUUGGAUCCAUCUUUCUAUUCAACUUAAAAAAGUACACACACUCAUAGGAAAAGGUGAACCGUUUGAGGUGUCGUUCAAAGCACGGUUCGUGAACUUGUUUGAGUUUGAUUGCUAUUUCGGCCGUCUGUAACCGCACUAUAUUUUGUCGGAGCACCAGAGCUUUUUGUUAAUUGAAUCUUCUUUAAAGGUCAACUCCUCCCCUUACUAUUUUAUUGAUUUUGUUGUUGAUUCUUGGUUUAACUCUUGUAGAUAUUAAUUUUAGUGUCAAAGUUGGUUUGAGCUAGCUGUUUCUUUUAACAAUCCGCAUAGAGUAUUAAUUUCUAAACUUGGUUUAGUUUAAUUUUCUUCAUAUCUUGGCCUUUAGUAUUAGGAUCUUUGUUGCAGAUAUUGUUAUGAUGAAUAUAUAUUUAAGUGCUUGGAGUGCCAUGUUAAAAGGUGAACAAUAUGUUCUGUGUUAGGCUUGCUUUUUGUUAAAGUAAAAACAUGAGUAUUUAAAAAUCUUCGCAAAUCUCUUGAAGGCUAUUUUCUUAGUUUUCUGUGAUCAAAAUAUUUAUUGGCCUGGAUUUUUUUCUUAAUUUUAUUUGGACAUCCUUGAAUGACUAUUGGGCCGUGGGACGGGUGAAAGACCGAUCUCAUUAGUAUUAAUUUUGUCUACAUGCUUUAGGAAUGGUCUCGGUCUAAAUACAUGGAAUGAGUAAUUAAAAGAUGAGCAUGCCAUGAAUUAUUUUAUCUAGCUUUCCUUUAUUUAUUUUAAUAAUUUAAUCGUUAGAAGCAUGUUUAGGCCGGCCACACUUGGGUAGGCAAGCCUUAGGAUUUUUGUUAAUUUUGAGGCGAGAUGUCGUUCCCUUAGUUAAAUUAUCUGGGGAAUGCCCCGAAGAAUUUGUAUAUAUUUUAUUCCAGGGAAUGCCCCGAAGUAUUCUGUAAUUAGAGGCCAAAAGUAGUACUUGUAGUGUUUUAUUCUUGUUUUAUUUUUUCUUUAUUAGGUGAGACGACCUCGAGCCUUUUGUGUGUUUAUUUUGUUUUGUGUGUUUUUGCCUUAAUUAGAAUAUCCUUUAAAGCCGACUUGAUUAAGUACGCAACUGUACUAGUUACGGGACUUGGGGAGUGUCUAACACCUUCUCCCCGAGUCAAAUGAACUCUCUUAACUGAAUCUCUGGUUCAGACUUAGUUUUGGAGUCUCAAGUGUUUUGAAAGGAAAAGAUUAUUUUUAGAAAAACGGUGACCUGACACACCGAAAUCAAAUGUCAGGUGGCGACUCUGAGUUAUUUUCCUUUUGAAUACAAUUUUUGUCACGUUCUAGUUGGAAAAUCCUUUUCAAGUUUUACUAAAUCUUUUUAUUUUUAAGAGAGCUUAGUGAGGUUUGUAAAAAAUGGGUAUGACAACAACAUGUCUACUUGAGUUCCUGUUUAUGUCCCUCAACUAAUAUGUCUCCUAGUGUACUUGAUUAACACUAAGUCAUGACUAAUUAUGUGUAAUAGACCCCUGCAUGACUACUCUCAUAUCCUAUCCCUAUGUCUUACUACUAUUUUUAAGCAUGAUUCCCUUGUUAACUCUUUGAAGUACUUGUUUGUGUUCUAAAGGUCAAUCAGUCCCUACUUGUUCUUUGUACUUGUUGGUUUAUAUGCAUCUCUGCUCAACCAUGUUUAUGUGUUCCUGAUUUGGUUCCUCUAUGUCCCCAACCCCUUACUUCCCUGCUUGUGACUGUUGAAAUUGUACUAUCCUUUGAACUUGCUCUAUGUGUGCUGUCUUGUUCCAAGUUAUUGUUGCUCCUACUCCCUUCUCCUUUUCAAAAUUGUUCUGUUGUUUUGCAAACUCAUUUCAAACAUUCUGUUCUAAAACUGUUUUCCAACUCAACUCUUUUAAAUCUAUAUCAAGCACUCUCACAUAUACUUUUAGACCACUAGGUUCUGCCCCUUUUGUGUGAGCCUUGCCUUGGGACCCUUGAACUCCCUCUAAACUUGGACACAUAAAAGCUGGCCUUUUCACACUGCACUUACUCUGUCUUGACUAUGAAAUCUGGGUGUGAGCACUGCCCGAGAUCCCUUGAGGUCCUUAGGAAACUCUGACAUACCUAGGUAUGAGAAUUGGAACAAUAUUGGCACUUGAGGUGAUUGAUUACAUAACUCAGAGAGGAAGUACUAACCAGGCUUCCUAUAGUGUAACUUCUUAUUUUUCAUUUCUACUUAUGUAAUUCACUUCAAUGAUGGUCUGUAAUAACCUGUUGUAAACAAGUAUUGGGGUGGCUAGUGAAAAGAGAUAGGGUAAAUAUGCAUGUUAUAGUUGUUAAGGGUAGAAAACAUGUUAUUAGGGUUAUAUUUCUAAUUGUGCAAUAGAAACCAUGCUUAGGAUUCAUACAUGCAUUAGAAAUCAUGUUCUUAGGAUCCAUGUUUCUUGCUUCAGCAUCUCAUCCAUCACUAAUCCAUGUCUAUCACUUAGAAAUCAUGCUCCUAGGACAAUAACAACAUUGUCAUAAAAGCUAUUACUCUUGUACUUUCAGAAGUCAUAUUUCAACAAUUUUGCAACUCUUGUGUGCCUUUAGAAAUCAUGUCUUAGGAAUUCUAUUUUUAACAAUCCUUCCAUCUGCAUGUGCAUAUUAGAUAUCAUGUUCUAGGAUCCUGUUUGCAUUUUGUUUAACACGCCUAGUUAAUUACUGAUUCAUGAAAAGGUAAUAAUAAUAAUCUCAUUGUGAUGUUUUGUUUUUUGAAUAAAAUUGGUAAUAAUCUCUGCAUUCGUAUCAACUAGAACAUGCUCUUAUAGUAAAAUAAUUUCCACCAUAUUUUAAUAAUUUUGAAUAACUACUGCAUACUAUUUUACGCCUAGGCAAGGCCUAGGUAAUCAACUUUAAAUAAAACCAGAACCAUCUGUGAUUAGUGUUUAAUUAUCAACUGUAAAAAUCAGUAGGCAAGCCUGAUUCAGACUUCUUUUCUGAGUCAUAUAAUAAAUCUGGUUAUGCUGUUAUCACUUAGAUGGCAUGCUUUAGAAUUCUGAGUUUAAAUUCAGACUUUAAUUGUGUAUGAGUCAUGUUGUCUAUGUGCAUUACCUGUGGAGGUGUAUUUGAGCCUUUCAUUUGUCUUCUAUGCUCCCUUUAAUUGAAGUCCUACUUGUUAUUGAAUGUCGCCUUAGUAUUUUGCCUUUAAACCUGAGGGUCUGCCUAGAACAUCCUUUUUAUAAGAUAGGAGUCCUAAAUUCCUCCGGGACUGAUAGGAAAGGACGGGUAACAGUAUGCAAUAGGGGUCGAGAUCAACCCUCGUUUUAAUAACCUUCGUGGGGCGGAACAUGGUAGAUAUGGAUAUGAUGAUCGGUGCGUUAAUACCACGUGUAGCCCCUUUUUGAGGAGUGUCAUACCCGGUAUUGCAUUGAUGUGAUCCAUAUUAUAAACAAACCUAGGACACCCUUCUUUACAUUCAUAAACAUGCUUAGAUUGUAACUCUUUUUAAAAUCUUGUUUUUCUUUUGUUGUCCUUUUCAAACACUUGUGUAUUUAAACUUAAAUCCCCUACUAUUUGAGCCAUGCUUGUUUAUUUGCUAAUUGCACACAUUCACAAAAACUGUAUGGCCGGGAACCACACUAGUAGAUCCUAAGGGGUGCCUAACACCUUCCCCUUAGUAUAAUUCAAGCUCUUACCCUAUCUCUGGUUACCAAAUGUAGUUAUAAUAAACCCUAUAGGUACCCUAACGCAUCUUAAAAUUAUUAGGUGGUGACUCUCCAAAAAUGCAAAUCCCUUCCCAAAAGGAAAGAGUUGUCCCAUAUCAAAAUGUCAUGAACCUGAUUCCGUGGAAGAAAAAAGGGGGCACAACAAUAUGACGACUCUGUUGGGAAUAUUUAGGCUUUUACCAUUUCAUACCGUUUUGUGAAUUUGUACCCCUCCCUAUGUGUAACUAUUUGUUUACUUUCUUUAAGCAUUUAAUUUCUUCUUCAAAAGCAAAACUGACAUAUUUUCCUUGUUUCCUUCCUUUAGAGCUGCUUUAAAUUAUGAAACUGUUGUAUUUAUCGCUUUCUUAACGUGCAAAUAUAUAUCAACAUGCUUUUAACUAUUGCAUAAUCAUGUUCAACAUCAUACUCCACUCGUGCCAAACAAAUACUAUAGCAACGCUUGAUGAGUAGUUGUGCGCUUCCUAUAUCAUUACCCCCUAAAUUCGAAAAUGCUUAUUUGCGGUAAAAUUAGUCGAUCAGCGGUGCAGUCAACAGUUCCGUGCCUUCCCCCUUGAGUUGUCCGCUCAAGGGUACUAGUCUAAAAUCCCAUAGAAACCUUACUCUGUUUAAAUUGUGCAUGCAUCAUGGUCAAACCUAGUCGGGUCAGUUAUGUUGUCCCCAUAAUGAUCCUUUAAGACAGCUUUGUCCAAAAGUCCAUUGGGUUUUCCUAAACCCAAAUGGACAUCAUCACGUUCUGUGCAUUUAUUUGGAGAACUAAAUGUUUCAUACUAAUUGUUGAUGUUAAAUAGUCGAGUCUGGUGGGGGCAUGGUCUAACCCUUCUAUUUUGCAGAAAAUGAGGCACGAGGUCCCCAGUUUCAGUAUGAUUAGCAUGCUCCCACUCUUGCUAGACUGGUGGAGGAGUCUUCCAUCAAAUGACCAAAUCAAUGAGUGGAAAGAGAGGGCCGCCAGAGCUAGCAAAAAGUUGGAAUAUCUUGAAUACAGUCUGCUGGAAUUGGAAGGAAAAGUGAGGAAGAGAGUCACCGACUGCUAGAAUGCUGAGGGAAACGAAGGAGAGCACUAGGCAAAGACAUUUUUACUGGUGAACCUAUGCGAACUGGAGGAUUUGAUCAACGAGAGUAUUCAACCUAAGGAAGGUCCGUCUGGGACCAAGUAGAUAGGAAUUUACUUUUCCGCUUUAUGAAUGUAAUAAGGCCAAUGGCCAUUAGUGACUUUAAUUUCUUGCUUAUUUAGUGUCGUUUUGGGAUUUGUCUAUUUUUUAUCAAUAAAAUGAGGCAUUUAGCAUUCUAAGUUCUCCAAAUCAAUUUUUCGCUAGGCCUACCUCGGGCACAAAGAGGUUCCCAAAUUCGGACACGCUUUACAUUCCCG